This 253-nucleotide ribosomal RNA is filed under the name uncultured bacterium. RNAcentral's name for it is "partial 16S ribosomal RNA". It matches the Rfam family "Bacterial small subunit ribosomal RNA", at positions 524 to 776 of the family's 1533-position model. The record is from RNAcentral.
UACAGAGGGGGCAAGCGUUGUUCGGAAUUACUGGGCGUAAAGGGCGCGUAGGCGGCUUUGUAAGUCGGGGGUGAAAUCCCCGGGCUCAACCCGGGAACUGCGUCCGAUACUGGCGGGCUUGAAUCCGGGAGAGGGAUGUGGAAUUCCAGGUGUAGCGGUGAAAUGCGUAGAUAUCUGGAGGAACACCGGUGGCGAAGGCGGCAUCCUGGACCGGUAUUGACGCUGAGGAACGAAAGCCAGGGGAGCAAACGGG